CAGUCGCCGCGGGAAUACGAAGGGGGCUAGCGUUGCUCGGAAUGACUGGGCGUAAAGGGCGCGUAGGCGGCGGCCAAAGUCAGGCGUGAAAUUCCCGGGCUCAACCUGGGGGCUGCGUUUGAUACUUGGUUGCUUGAGUGGGGAAGAGGGUCGUGGAAUUCCCAGUGUAGAGGUGAAAUUCGUAGAUAUUGGGAAGAACACCGGUGGCGAAGGCAGCCCCCUGGGCCAAUACUGACGCUCAUGCACGAGAGCGUGGGGAGCAAACAGGAUUAGAUACCCCGGUAGUCCCUGUCUCUUAUAC
RNAcentral lists this ribosomal RNA (301 nucleotides) under uncultured bacterium. Its description in RNAcentral is "partial 16S ribosomal RNA". It matches the Rfam family "Bacterial small subunit ribosomal RNA", at positions 509 to 807 of the family's 1533-position model. The record is from RNAcentral.